This 253-nucleotide ribosomal RNA is filed under the name uncultured bacterium. RNAcentral describes it as "partial 16S ribosomal RNA". It matches the Rfam family "Bacterial small subunit ribosomal RNA", at positions 524 to 776 of the family's 1533-position model. The record is from RNAcentral.
UACGGGGGGGGCAAGCGUUGUUCGGAAUUACUGGGCGUAAAGGGCUCGUAGGCGGCCAACUAAGUCGGACGUGAAAUCCCUCGGCUCAACCGGGGAACUGCGUCCGAUACUGGAUGGCUUGAAUCCGGGAGAGGGAUGCGGAAUUCCCAGUGUAGAGGUGAAAUUCGUAGAUAUUGGGAAGAACACCGGUGGCGAAGGCGGCGACCUGGUCCAUUACUGACGCUGAGGCGCGACAGCGUGGGGAGCAAACAGG